RNAcentral lists this ribosomal RNA (274 nucleotides) under uncultured bacterium. Its description in RNAcentral is "partial 16S ribosomal RNA". It matches the Rfam family "Bacterial small subunit ribosomal RNA", at positions 523 to 796 of the family's 1533-position model. The record is from RNAcentral.
AUACGGAGGGUGCAAGCGUUACUCGGAAUCACUGGGCGUAAAGCGCGCGCAGGCGGCUAUUUAAGUUGGAUGUGAAAGCCUAUGGCUCAACCAUAGAACUGCAUCCAAAACUAUUUAGCUAGAGUGUGGGAGAGGAAGAUGGAAUUAGUUGUGUAGGGGUAAAAUCCGUAGAGAUAACUAGGAAUACCAAAAGCGAAGGCAAUCUUCUGGAACAAUACUGACGCUGAGGCGCGAAAGCGUGGGGAGCAAACAGGAUUAGAAACCCUAGUAGUCC